GAAUCACCUGCCAGGCUCCCGCCCGCACAACUUCUGAUUCCAGAGGCCCAGGGUGCAGCCGGGGGUUUGUAUCAAGUUCCCGGGUGAUGCUGCUGCUGCUGCUGCUGCUGCUCUAAAGAUCUCCUUCGGAGAAACAGAGCCCAUCUCUCACACUCUGGAAUUGUGUCCAUUUCUACCACGAGCUCAGAUUCCUUCAGCUCGACUUUCUCCUGUCAAACUGUUGGACGGAGUUACAAUGACCGGAUAUAUCUUUGCACAUGAAACAACCGAAAAAUGGGCAAACUACAGGAAAUGGUCGUUUGCAAGACAUUGGACAUUAGUCAUUGAAGACAGUGAUCCUGAGAGGCAAGGAAAAAUGAGAGCUGGUGAUUCCCUGGGGCAUUGUCACACAUCUACAAGGACUUAGGCAUUGGGUCCUGCUCAACUUAUUUCAAAGGCAACAGAGAUGAGCCCAGAUUUUCAGCAUACCACCACCCACAGCCUCUGCCAUCCGCUGCCCACCCUGCUCACUGGGCCUCAAAUAAUUUCUUUUACACUCCAUUUGUUUGCU
This is a long non-coding RNA of Pteronotus mesoamericanus, 550 nucleotides long. RefSeq lists it as uncharacterized. The transcript is spliced from 3 exons. The record is from RefSeq and is a predicted model, not a curated record. NCBI's taxonomy places the organism in Eukaryota, Metazoa, Chordata, Mammalia, Chiroptera, Mormoopidae.